UGCCGAAACGCUUGAAAUAGCGUCUCUCGGAAAUGGCCGACCGAGACUGAUGAGGCAGGCCUAA
Molecule: non-coding RNA, 64 nt
Filed under: Chromohalobacter moromii
Lineage: Bacteria; Pseudomonadati; Pseudomonadota; Gammaproteobacteria; Oceanospirillales; Halomonadaceae
Also listed under: 1 other name
Source: RNAcentral